UCCCACCAAGUUAAUUGUCCAGAUCAAGGA
RNAcentral lists this non-coding RNA (30 nucleotides) under Mus musculus (house mouse). RNAcentral also lists the same sequence under 1 other name. Lineage: Eukaryota; Metazoa; Chordata; Mammalia; Rodentia; Muridae. The record is from RNAcentral.